Arvicola amphibius (Eurasian water vole) is the source of this 641-nucleotide long non-coding RNA. RefSeq lists it as uncharacterized. Lineage: Eukaryota; Metazoa; Chordata; Mammalia; Rodentia; Cricetidae. The transcript is spliced from 2 exons. The record is from RefSeq and is a predicted model, not a curated record.
GAUCUGAAUAUUGAACUCUCAGCCACCCUGGCUGCCGGCAUGCUGCCAUGCUCCCCGCCAUGAGGAUAAGCCUCUGAAACUCACACAGAGGGGAUCCCACAUCGGUGGAGAGCAUCGACUUCACUGCUCCAGUGGCAGCAUUUUGAAAGAAGAAGACAGGAAACUGAAUGGCAACAACAGUCCACGGGCCUCUUGGCUGAACUGCAGCGUGUGUGGACAGAAGGCAAGAGACCCUUGAAGAAACAAGCAAGCACUCUCCAGUAAGCAGCUUGUACAAUCACUGUCUCCAUGACACGUGGUCAUAAUCGGAGGCCCUGCUAUGUCUCAAACUACUGGCACCCCCAAUCCCUCUGAGACGACACUUGUCUAUCUCCCUUCCUCCUGGCAGUCCCUGGUCUCCCUGCUGCCUAGGCCUCUUCUCCUUCCCCUGCCCUGCGGCUCCUGUCACAGCUGUGGAAGUACAGCUGCUGAGGGAAGGGCAGGACUUGGCUUCUCUCCCAAUGUAAACAAUUAGGCAAGCAUUAACUUUUCUCUUAAUGGGCAAAGCAACAUUAAGCAGAUGGAAGCCCAGACAUGGGCCACUUUGCAGAGAUCCAAAGCUGUGGUGAGGCCUCAAAUAUGAUCUCGAAAUUGAAACUUAA